This 873-nucleotide ribosomal RNA is filed under the name Triticum aestivum (bread wheat). Its description in RNAcentral is "partial small subunit ribosomal RNA". Lineage: Eukaryota; Viridiplantae; Streptophyta; Magnoliopsida; Poales; Poaceae. The record is from RNAcentral.
AUGAAGAGCAGAGGUGCGGGGACAUUUUCGUGUGGCUUGGCCAGGAACUUGUGGACGGCGUCCAGCUGCCAGAGGCUGGCCGGCAAAGUCGCCGUGAUCACCGGCGCGGCCAGCGGCAUCGGCAAGGCGACGGCCGUCGAGUUCAUCCGGAACGGCGCCAAGGUCAUCCUCGCGGACAUCCAGGACGACGCGGGCCGCUCCGUGGCGGCCGAGCUCGGCCCGGGCGCGGAGUACACCCGCUGCGACGUGACCGACGAGGCGCAGAUCGCCGCGGCGGUGGACCUCGCCGUGGCGCGCCACGGCCAGCUCGACGUCCUCUACAGCAACGCCGGCGUCUCCGGGUCCUCGGCGCCGGCGCCCCUGGCGGCCCUCGACCUCGCGGACUUCGACCGCGUGAUGGCGGCCAACGCGCGCUCCCUGGUGGCCGCCGUCAAGCACGCCGCGCGCGUCAUGGUGCCGCGCCGCAGCGGCUGCGUCCUCUGCACGGGGAGCACCACGGGGAUGAUGGGCGGUGUCGCCGCGCUCCCGUACAGCCUCUCGAAGGCGACGGUGGUGAGCGUGGUGCGGCUGGUGGCGGCGGAGCUGGCGCGCGACGGCGUGCGCGUCAACGCCAUCUCGCCGCACGCCAUCGCGACGCCGCUGCUGGUCCGGUCGCUGGCGAGGGCGUACCCGGGCGUUGGCGACGACGCGCUGAAGCGGAUGGUGGAGAGGGGCAUGAGCGAGCUCCAUGGGGCGGUGCUGGAGCCGGAGGACGUGGCGAGGGCUGCCGUCUACCUGGCGUCCGACGAGGCCAAGUAUGUCACUGGCCAUAACCUAGUGGUGGACGGCGGUUUCACGGUCGGGAAGCCGAUCAAUGUGCACCCGGCAAGCUGA